Molecule: long non-coding RNA, 887 nt
Organism: Melanaphis sacchari
Lineage: Eukaryota; Metazoa; Arthropoda; Insecta; Hemiptera; Aphididae
Exons: 3
Source: RefSeq, a predicted model, not a curated record
AUUAUCCUUAUCAUUUUUCGGACGACUGCACUGCACCAUGGAGUAUAACUAUAUCUCUAUAGACUGCGCCCUACUUUACUCAGACUCUUAUUAUUUUAAUUAUUAUAUUGUCACUGAUAGCGGUAAGUGUAACCGAAGGACAAAUCCAAAAUAUUUGUUUAUAAAUGUUUAAAAAUCAUGAGAUAUUUAAAGUUUUUUCUACAUUAUUAAUAAUACAUUUUUCAAAUAAAUUGAUUAAGAACCAGGAGUACCUAUCAAAAUAAUCUGUAAAAGUGUAAAAUAUUGUUAAAUAUAUAUGAUUGCCCUUAGGUAAUCCCAAGGUGGUAGUUUUCAUAUAAAAACAAUUAUAAUAAUGUAUUCAUCAGUGGCGUAACUUUAAAAUUUUGGCCCGGGAUCAAAAUUGUCAACGACCUUCUCAUUAUCCAGCAAGCUUUUCAACACUUGAACACGAACUUUCAAAAGCUUUCAUACAAACACAAAUUUGUGAACAUCUUAAUAUUUCGUUAAAGAUAAAUUGAUUUAUUUAAGAGCAAAAGAAAUGGCACACCACGAUUUUUGAACAAAAAAUGUGAUCGAAUUUUGGUAUACUUUGACGAAGGCUUAUCCGCGGAGCUGUAUCCGGAUCAAUGCAAUUUUUAUUCCAUUCGCCAUUACAUAUCGUUGUGAAUCUGGAUUUUCUACAAUGGUCAAAAUUAAAACAAAACCAAGAAAUCGAUUGGACAUCAAGAAUGAUAUGCGACUCUAGCCUACACAUAAUGUAUUUAUGUAUGAAAUAUUGUAAAAAGGAUAACUUUGUUUUAGUAUAAUUUUUCGGAACGUUGUGAACUCCUGAUGGCUGAUGACGCCGAUGUAAUAAUUAUAUAACAUAUUUAUUUAAACUUAUAACA